GCCUUCGUGGCUAAGUGGUUACAGCGUCGCACUUGUAUCUGCAAGGUCCAUGCGAAGAUCUCCUGUUCAAAUCAGGACUGAGGCA
Molecule: non-coding RNA, 85 nt
Organism: Microstroma glucosiphilum
Lineage: Eukaryota; Fungi; Basidiomycota; Exobasidiomycetes; Microstromatales; Microstromataceae
Source: the annotation of a RefSeq genome assembly